AUACGGAGGAUCCAAGCGUUAUCCGGAUUUAUUGGGUUUAAAGGGUGCGUAGGCGGACUGGUAAGUCAGCUGUGAAAGUUUGCGGCUUAACCGUAAAAUUGCAGUUGAUACUGUCAGUCUUGAGUGUGCAUGAGGUGGGCGGAAUUUGUGGUGUAGCGGUGAAAUGCUUAGAUAUCACGAGGAACUCCAAUUGCGAAGGCAGCUCUCUGGGGCAUAACGGACGCGGAUGCACGAAGGUGUGGGUAUCAAACAGGAUUAGAUUCCCUGGUAGUCCACACAGUAAACUAUGAAUACGCGCUGUUUGCGAUAUACAGUAAGCGGCCAAGCGAAAGCAUUAAGUAUUCCGCCUGGGGAGUACGCCGGCAACGGUGAAACUCAAAUGAAUUGACGGGG
RNAcentral lists this ribosomal RNA (393 nucleotides) under uncultured bacterium. RNAcentral's name for it is "partial 16S ribosomal RNA". It matches the Rfam family "Bacterial small subunit ribosomal RNA", at positions 523 to 918 of the family's 1533-position model. The record is from RNAcentral.